Molecule: long non-coding RNA, 1464 nt
Organism: Dermacentor silvarum
Lineage: Eukaryota; Metazoa; Arthropoda; Arachnida; Ixodida; Ixodidae
Exons: 2
Source: RefSeq, a predicted model, not a curated record
CCAGCGUAAAUGUAUGUAUUGUUUCCUGCAUAUGAAUGGCAAAAAGGGUUUUUGAGCAUAUCUGCAGCGCUAUUUUGUAUUGCUCCUCAUUGCCGGUGUGCAACUAGGAACUUUGCAUCCUUGUUGUGGACCCCCGGCUCCCUGGUUCGGACCACGACUCUUGGGUGUGGCAGCAUAAUCCACUGUGAGCGCGCCUAGCCACACAACUGCAACCUGGCGAGUAUCUGCUUGGUGCCCAGCUACGACUAGUGCCAGGGAGCGCACCUUCUCCAGGAUGCCCUCCUGACCCGCUGCCGUGCUCUCUGCCGCGACAGCGAGGCGGGUGGUGGAUUGUUCGGUCCUCCGCAGCACCUGAAAUGAAUAAUCGUGGUGGAACUGUUGGCAAGAGUUGCUGAUUACUCAUAACCAGCUCAUGGCUGGAAGCUGCUGUUGUCAAGAAUUGCAACGUGCACAACAAUUCCCGACAUCUCUCGCUGUAGCCACUGUGGUGUCUAUCCUCCCAACACAUCACAUAUCCUAUGGCGAUGCCAUCCAAAAGUGCCCCCUAACCCAAACCUUCAUCCCUCCCAUCUACCCCUUCCUCCGAGUGACUGACCGCCGCAACCACCCUUCACGACCAACGAUUCCUUGCGGACUUGAUCGGCCUAGCGCUGAAGCACGCCGCAAGCGACGCCCUGGACUGAGGGCAUCGAUGCAUUUUUAUGGCAGAAUAAAAAAGUCAUUUCUCUCUCUCUCUGUUGAAGAGCCACUGGCCUGAUGGCAUCAUUUUCUUUGGCAGUGUGAAGCGUCGUGUACAAGCUAUGCCCUCUUCGUUUGCACAAAGACCUGUUGGAACUACUCUUCCAUCAUCUACUCAAAUGCAUCUCUUACCACCAAACAGCCCUUUUCAGGGCUAACCAAGCUUUUGCCCUGCUCUUGAUCGUUGGCAAGAUACGAUACCGACCCCUCAAUACAACGCAUAUUUCUUAUUUAUAUCCAAAGUUGGUUUGUUUUCCCGAUUCAUGAUUCAUUUAUGAUAACAGAGCAUAAAAAAUAUUUAUGUCCUUCAUGUAAAAUGACACCAAAGGAUCUACCAACCUGGAGCCUCUCGUCGCCCUGUUCGAGGCUGCGGGCGCACUGCGACGACAUGGUUGUGAGGGUGUCCACCCGUCGUGGUCGCUGUCCACGUGGUGGUCGUACAGGACGCUGCAACACUGAAAGCAUGCAUCAUUUUCUACAAUUGCACUGCAUUUUAUGGUAUGCAUAAAAAGUGGCUAUGGCCAUGUUAUGGCUUAUUGGGCUAGUUCAAUAAAAUACGAGAGCUUAUUUUCUCUAACAGUUUGAGGAUCAAUAACUUACCAGGUGCAGCGGCCACCCUUUCCGUGCCUGAUGUGCCACGCGGUGGAUCCUCUGCCGCUGUAAACACAUUACAAGUUUACGAACUGCACACACAUUUGGCGAUAAUUAAAACACUCAUUCCUUUGA